RNAcentral lists this ribosomal RNA (294 nucleotides) under uncultured bacterium. RNAcentral's name for it is "partial 16S ribosomal RNA". It matches the Rfam family "Bacterial small subunit ribosomal RNA", at positions 338 to 649 of the family's 1533-position model. The record is from RNAcentral.
CCUACGGGGGGCAGCAGUGGGGAAUAUUGCACAAUGGGGGAAACCCUGAUGCAGCGACGCCGCGUGAGUGAGGAAGUAUUUCGGUAUGUAAAGCUCUAUCAGCAGGGAAGAAAAUGACGGUACCUGACUAAGAAGCCCCGGCUAACUACGUGCCAGCAGCCGCGGUAAUACGUAGGUGACAAGCGUUGUCCGGAUUUACUGGGUGUAAAGGGCGCGUAGGCGGAUGUGCAAGUCAGUCGUGAAAUACCGGGGCUCAACCCCGGGGCUGCGAUUGAAACUGCACACCUUGAGUAU